RNAcentral lists this small RNA (92 nucleotides) under Marmota monax (woodchuck). Lineage: Eukaryota; Metazoa; Chordata; Mammalia; Rodentia; Sciuridae. The record is from RNAcentral.
GCCAGGUGUGGUGGUGCACACUUAUAAUCCCAACUACUUGGGAGGCUGAGGCAGGAGACCAGCCUGGGCAAUUUAGGGAGACUCUGUCUCAA